UAUAUAUUUAUUUAUUUAUUUAUACCGAACGGUAUACCGUUAGGUAUAUUAUAUCGUACCGUACCGAGCGAAUGUCGAAACGCCUGUACGGUAUGAUAUUUUAAACCUUGAAUUUAAGUACCAUAAGGUCUACUGUUUACUAGCAAGGUAUAAUCGGAAGGAUACGUUUAAUCAGUGUUCUUUUACUAGCUAUUCCAUUUUUUAGACAUCUUAGUGUGCUGCUAGAACUUGAUCAUCUAGAACUUUAUCUGGACUUAAUUAUGUGGCUCAUCAAUCUUUCGUUAUUGAAUUAUAUUAGCAGUUGCUGGAUCUGUGCAUAAUAUUAUCCUUGUUUUUGUUUCUCACAUAUGAUGGUGUCAAUUCUGUUAUCUAUGUCAUUAUUAUGCUUAGAUUGAAAUUCUCCUUUUAGUAACAUGCACUAUAUUGAAAUUAAACAUCUCCUUUUGCAGAUUACUCUUUCCCACUACUGCACAUUCUGGUGUGAACUUGGCAGUUGAGUUCCAUUUGCUUGAUACCACUCCUUGCUUUUCAUACAUAUCCUUGUCAUCUACCACCUCUUAUGAAUUAAUGCAGUUCACAGUUGAAGUUCAACAACUUACCUGAGUCCACUCCAUUAUCUCUCGUCAGUUGGCUUUUGUAAUCGUGUGUCCUGAUCCUAUAAAAUUGGAAUCAAAUAGGCUAUUGAAGCGUUAGGCUCAAGAGCCAUUAUCUUUUCUGUGGAACUUUUCCUUUGUUCUCUGUUAUUGCAAGUGCUCUGCAUUUUGCUCAAAUGGUUUGUUAUGUUUAUUUAAUUUUCUGCUUCUUUUUACUUGGCUGCUUAUCUCAAGAUGUUCACCAAGCAGGCAUAAUGGUUACUUGCAGGUCCUAUGUCAUAUUACUUAUCCAAAUUGUGCAUGCUGCAGCUUCACUGCUCAUAGAUGCAGUGACGUCAGUGUUCUCCAUGUAGAAGAUUUCAGGAUCAUGUCUUGAUUUGUGACUUGUGAAACUUAUGUAUAUAAAGGAGAAAAUUUGGACGAAGCUUUUGUUUCUGUGUGUCUUGAUACGUAGUAAAUAAUUACUCGUGGAUUGGUUAUAAUGGUGUCUACAUCAGGUUUCUAUUUUAGUAUUUUACAAUUGGUUUGGCUUUUGUGUUGGAUUGCAUUUCUUUUUAUAAUUCAAUUUUUUUGAUGUUUUAGAACAUGUUGUAGAUGACCAUUGCAUACUGAUGAGCAAAUAUGGAGUUCCAGGUGGCCUAAUUCUUUAUGUUGAUUUCCAUUUUAUACUUCUUAAUAUGUAUGAUAACCAGAUUUCAAGUGUACAUUCCAGGAAGACAUCUGCUACCAGGCAUAACUCUGUAAAGAUAGAGAACUGGAGUUUUCCGUCUUUGGGGACAAUCUUCCAAAAGGCAGCACUGAUGUUUACCAUUCUGGCCUGCUUUUGCUGAUGAGUGCUGCUUGUUUGAUAUUUUGGACGAGCAGAGUUUGGUGGGAGAUGGUGGAUACAUCAACGACUCGGGCGAGAAGAGUCCAUUGUUAAAAAGCUUUGAAGUUGUGAUAUCAAUCUGCUAAUACAAUUGGUUAUGGUAUGCGGAAGGUCGACCUUGGAAAAGUGCAUGGGAGGGGGGUAACUACUACUCUCCUCAUCCUGUUCAUCCAGAACUCUUAAUGUUCAACAUUGUGCCAGGACAUGGUUGAAUGCUCAAUCUUAACAAUUCUCGUGGACUGCUGACGGAAGGGAAGACACGGCGGAGUGAUGGUUGGACAUGGGGCGGCAACGCAGCAGCGCAGAAAUCUUUGCAUGCCAGUGCUUGAUGGAUGGAAGAGCGGAGCAGCGGAGAGAGGAGGGCGGAGAUGGGGACUGGGAGGGGCUGAGCAUGGCAGGAGGGGAGCUGAGCUGUUGCGGCGGGCACCGGCGGUGCUGCGACGUGCUAUUUAUGUGCUUGGGAACACCCGGUUGGAUCUCCCAGUUGAAGGGAACGGAUCCAGGCCUCUUGAAGGAAUCAUCUCUGUCAAGCUCACUCUCUUCUGGCAUUCUGCAGCUCUUUGUGCUUUGUCUCCCCUUAGCCUGAGUUUUAUAGCGGAGUAAGAGUGUUCAAACCGGACUGGAAAAUCAAACCGGAAUAGAAUUAAUUAUUUGAUUUGAAUUGAUUUAUCAAUGAUUUGAUUUUAAAGGUUAUAAA
This is a long non-coding RNA of Musa acuminata AAA Group (dessert banana), 2158 nucleotides long. RefSeq lists it as uncharacterized. The transcript has 3 exons. The record is from RefSeq and is a predicted model, not a curated record. NCBI's taxonomy places the organism in Eukaryota, Viridiplantae, Streptophyta, Magnoliopsida, Zingiberales, Musaceae.